This 755-nucleotide ribosomal RNA is filed under the name uncultured Actinomyces sp. RNAcentral describes it as "bacterial SSU rRNA". It matches the Rfam family "Bacterial small subunit ribosomal RNA", at positions 28 to 776 of the family's 1533-position model. Lineage: Bacteria; Bacillati; Actinomycetota; Actinomycetes; Actinomycetales; Actinomycetaceae. The record is from RNAcentral.
GACGAACGCUGGCGGCGUGCUUAACACAUGCAAGUCGAACGAAAAUACCAAGCUUGCUUGGUUGAUUAGUGGCGAACGGGUGAGUAACACGUGAGUAACCUGCCCCUUACUUUCCUGGAUAACUGCUCGAAAGGGUAGCUAAUACGGGAUAUUCUGACUAGCCUGCAUGGGUUGGUUUGGAAAGGUUUUUUCUGGUAAGGGAUGGGCUCGCGGCCUAUCAGCUUGUUGGUGGGGUGAUGGCCUACCAAGGCUUUGACGGGUAGCCGGCCUGAGAGGGUGGACGGUCACACUGGGACUGAGAUACGGCCCAGACUCCUACGGGAGGCAGCAGUGGGGAAUAUUGCACAAUGGGCGCAAGCCUGAUGCAGCGACGCCGCGUGAGGGAUGAAGGCCUUCGGGUUGUAAACCUCUUUCGUCAGGGAACAAGGCACUGCUUUUUUGGUGGUGUUGAGGGUACCUGGAUAAGAAGCGCCGGCUAACUACGUGCCAGCAGCCGCGGUAAUACGUAGGGCGCAAGCGUUGUCCGGAAUUAUUGGGCGUAAAGAGCUCGUAGGCGGCUGGUCGCGUCUGUCGUGAAAACUUCCGGCUCAACCGGGGGCUUGCGGUGGGUACGGGCCGGCUAGAGUGCGGUAGGGGUAACUGGAACUCCUGGUGUAGCGGUGGAAUGCGCAGAUAUCAGGAAGAACACCGAUGGCGAAGGCAGGUUACUGGGCCGUUACUGACGCUGAGGAGCGAAAGCGUGGGGAGCGAACAGG